GUGUCAGCAGCCGCGGUAAUACGGAGGGUGCAAGCGUUGUUCGGAAUUAUUGGGCGUAAAGCGCGUGUAGGCGGCCCAUUAAGUCAGAUGUGAAAGCCCUUAGCUCAACUAAGGAAUUGCAUCUGAAACUGAUGGGCUUGAGUACGGGAGAGGAGAGUAGAAUUCCCAGUGUAGAGGUGAAAUUCGUAGAUAUUGGGAGGAACACCGGUGGCGAAGGCGGCUCUCUGGACCGAUACUGACGCUGAGACGCGAAAGCGUGGGGAGCAAACAGGAUUAGAUACCCUGGUAGUCCACGCCGUAAACGAUGAGAACUAGGUGUAGCGGGUAUUGACCCCUGCUGUGCCGAAGCUAACGCAUUAAGUUCUCCGCCUGGGGAGUACGGCCGCAAGGCUAAAACUUAAAGGAAUUGACGGGG
This 415-nucleotide ribosomal RNA is filed under the name uncultured prokaryote. RNAcentral's name for it is "bacterial SSU rRNA". It matches the Rfam family "Bacterial small subunit ribosomal RNA", at positions 505 to 918 of the family's 1533-position model. The record is from RNAcentral.